GCUCUGGCAACAGCGUCCCGGAGAUGCCGAAUUGGCGGGGCCGCGGCGGCCCGGCGGCCUGGGGUCCACUCUCAGAUUUGGGCCCAGAGAGGCGGAGGCGCAAACCCGGGCCGGGCCAUCUGCUUCUUCCAGUGUAAAAGACCUUCUGCGGCAUCCACACUGUGAUCCUUUGAGCUGACCAGCACCUAGAGACAGAACCAGCUUCACAGGAUGUUUCGUAGCCUGGUGCCUGCCCAGCCAAGGAGUCUGGUGUUAACAAGACAGUUGAUUUAAUAAAGCUUCUUUACAGAAUUGUCAAAUUGAGGAACAGUUUAUCUAGGAAGAAAUGAUACACAUUAGCACCUCCCAAAAUACUGCCACUGUCAACACCACCAAAUCGACCAGCACC
Molecule: long non-coding RNA, 388 nt
Organism: Dipodomys spectabilis (banner-tailed kangaroo rat)
Lineage: Eukaryota; Metazoa; Chordata; Mammalia; Rodentia; Heteromyidae
Exons: 3
Source: RefSeq, a predicted model, not a curated record